GGGGGGCCAGAGAGUAGGGGGGGCCAGAGAGUAGGGGGGGCCAGAGAGUAAGGGGGGCCAGAGAGUAAGGGGGGGCCAGAGAACCAGGGGGGCCAGAGACCAAGGGGGGCCAGAGACCAGGGGGGGCCAGAGACCAGGGGGCCAGAGACCAGGGGGCCAGAGACCAGGGGGGCCAGAGACUAGGGGGCCAGAGACUAGGGGGCCAGAGAGUAGGGGUGUAUUUGAGAUUAGACGCUCCAGGGUCAUGAAGCACACAGGUGGAGUAGACGAGCCCUGAUGUCCCGUAGAAAAUAACUGACGAUCCACAGCAAAACAGCCAGGCCAGACUAGACGAUCCAGAGAAAAACAGCCAGGCCAGACUAGACGAUCCACAGCAGAACAGCCAGGCGAUCCAGACCUGACUAGACGAUCCACAGCAGAAGAGCCAGGCGAUCCUGACGAUUCAGCCGGAGCAGCCUCGGCAACCACAGUGGGUACACUCUAUAAUCCUCCCCUGGAGAGAGAGAGAAACAGAGAGACAGAGAGAGAGAGAAACAGAGACACAGCGAGAGAGAGAGAGAGAGAGAGAGAGACAGAGACAGAGACAGAGACAGACAGAGAAACAGAGAGAGACAGAGACAGACAGAGAAACAGAGAGAGACAGAGAAACAGAGAGAGAGAGAGACAGAGACAGAGACAGAGAGAGAGAGAGAGACAGAGAGACAGAGAGAGAGAGAGAGACAGAGAGACAGAGAGAGAAACAGAGAGACAGAGAAACAGAGAGACAGAGAAACAGAGGAACAGAGACAGAGAAACAGAGAGAGAAACAGAGAGAGAGACAGAGAGAGAGACAGAGAGAGAGACAGAGAGAGAGAGAGAGAGAGAGAGACAGAGAGAGACAGAGAGAGAGACAGAGAG
This 897-nucleotide long non-coding RNA is filed under the name Salmo salar (Atlantic salmon). Its description in RNAcentral is "lncRNA (ENSSSAG00000098348.1)". The record is from RNAcentral. Lineage: Eukaryota; Metazoa; Chordata; Actinopteri; Salmoniformes; Salmonidae.